Molecule: transfer RNA, 75 nt
Filed under: Agrilus planipennis (emerald ash borer)
Lineage: Eukaryota; Metazoa; Arthropoda; Insecta; Coleoptera; Buprestidae
Rfam family: tRNA
About the family: Transfer RNA (tRNA) molecules are approximately 80 nucleotides in length. Their secondary structure includes four short double-helical elements and three loops (D, anti-codon, and T loops). Further hydrogen bonds mediate the characteristic L-shaped molecular structure. tRNAs have two regions of fundamental functional importance: the anti-codon, which is responsible for specific mRNA codon recognition, and the 3' end, to which the tRNAs corresponding amino acid is attached (by aminoacyl-tRNA synthetases). tRNAs cope with the degeneracy of the genetic code in two manners: having more than one tRNA (with a specific anti-codon) for a particular amino acid; and 'wobble' base-pairing, i.e. permitting non-standard base-pairing at the 3rd anti-codon position.
Source: Rfam by way of RNAcentral
CUCCUUGUAGCUUAGUGGUAGAGUAUAUACUGGUGUGUAAAACCAGGGAUCUGGGUUCGAUUCCCGGCAAGGGAG